GAUGAAGAACGUAGUGAAAUGCGAUAAGUAGUGUGAAUUGCAGAAUUCAGUGAAUCAUCGAAUCUUUGAACGCACAUUGCGCCUCCUGGUAUUCCGGGAGGCAUGCCUGUUCGAGCGUCAUUAAAAUCACUCAAGCUUAGGUUUACCUAUUGCUUGGUCUUGGAGAUGGAAGCCAAUUUAUUGGAAUCCUCUUCGAAAUUCAAUGGCGAAGACCCUUGCUCUCCCAAGUGUAGUAAUAACUUAUGUCACUGAAGGAAGCGAGAAAUCUUCUGCCGUAACCCCCAUAUUUUCUAUGAUUGACCUCGGAUCAGGUAGGGAUACCCGCUGAACUUAAGCAUAUCAAUAAGCGGAGGA
This 354-nucleotide unclassified non-coding RNA is filed under the name soil metagenome. RNAcentral describes it as "partial contains 5.8S ribosomal RNA, internal transcribed spacer 2, and large subunit ribosomal RNA". The stretch from base 1 to 120 matches the Rfam family "5.8S ribosomal RNA", at positions 35 to 154 of the family's 154-position model. The record is from RNAcentral.